UACGAAGGGAGCGAGCGUUGUUCGGAAUCACUGGGCUUAAAGCGUGCGUAGGCUGACAGGAAAGUCAGAAGUGAAAGCCCCGGGCUUAACCCGGGAACUGCUUUUGAAACUUCCCGUCUAGAACCCGAGAGAGGUUAGCGGAGUAUCCAGUGUAGAGGUGAAAUUCGCAGAUAUUGGAUGGAACACCAGUGGCGAAGGUGGCUAACUGGCUCGGUACUGACGAUGAGGCCCGAACGCGUGGGUAGCAAACAGG
Molecule: ribosomal RNA, 253 nt
Filed under: uncultured bacterium
Lineage: Bacteria
Description: partial 16S ribosomal RNA
Rfam family: Bacterial small subunit ribosomal RNA
Source: RNAcentral